GGGUGUGUAGCUCAGUGGGAGAGCACUACGUUGACAUCGUAGGGGUUGCAGGUUCAAUUCCUGUCAUGCCCACCA
RNAcentral lists this transfer RNA (75 nucleotides) under Candidatus Tokpelaia sp. JSC188. RNAcentral's name for it is "tRNA-Val". It matches the Rfam family "tRNA". From Rfam's summary of the family: Transfer RNA (tRNA) molecules are approximately 80 nucleotides in length. Their secondary structure includes four short double-helical elements and three loops (D, anti-codon, and T loops). Further hydrogen bonds mediate the characteristic L-shaped molecular structure. tRNAs have two regions of fundamental functional importance: the anti-codon, which is responsible for specific mRNA codon recognition, and the 3' end, to which the tRNAs corresponding amino acid is attached (by aminoacyl-tRNA synthetases). tRNAs cope with the degeneracy of the genetic code in two manners: having more than one tRNA (with a specific anti-codon) for a particular amino acid; and 'wobble' base-pairing, i.e. permitting non-standard base-pairing at the 3rd anti-codon position. The record is from RNAcentral. Lineage: Bacteria; Pseudomonadati; Pseudomonadota; Alphaproteobacteria; Hyphomicrobiales.